UUUUGUAACUUACUGUGAUGGCUCUCUUACAAGUUAAGAUGCAUCGCUUUGUUCAUCUUGUUUUGAUUCAUCUGUUUGGUAUUACGUCUUCUUUUCUUUCAGCUCCCCUGGAAAACAGUUUGUCUCCUUCAGAUAAAAGUGGGCCAGAAGUGACAAUUCAUGUCCUCCCAGAAGAGGAUAUCAAACAACAAAGCAAAAAUGAGGUCACUCUGGUGUGUCUGGUCUACAGCCCUGUGCAACAGGAUUUCACAAUAUCCUGGACAGAAGAUAGUGGACGAAAGAAUGGCGUCUAUACAGAUGGCAUCACCUUCCCCCCACAGAAGUCCAAACAAGGCUACUUAGUUACAAGUGUUUACACCACCACCAAGGAAAAAUGGGAUAACGGGUAUAAGUUUGGGUGCAACGUGUGGCCUGCUGGCAGCAACAGCUCCAUAAAACUACGACAAGUGUCUAACGCCCAGGAUUUUACUCCAGAGUCGAAACUGAAUUUUGCUCUGAGCUGCAAAGAUGAUUUUAAUGAAGAGGAUGAGCUCAGCAGUCUGUGGUCCACAGCCUCCUCCUUCAUUUUCCUCUUCAUAUCUUCUCUCCUCUAUAGCAUGAUAUUCAGCGUAGUCAAGAUGAAGAGACGGUAAAGGAUGAGAUGGAUGCACAGAAGAGACGACUAAAGGGUCUUCAUUUAUUUUUUGUCUUUUUUUACUAAGUGGAUCAUCAUCUAUAAUAAUUAACUAGCUGAUUGAAAAUGUCUCUGUAACCUGUAGAAAAAACAAAAAUGCUACUGUAUUUCUUAAAUUUUUAUCUAAAUAAAUGUGUGUAUUGUUGUUACAUAAGGAUGACAGAAGUUGUUGAUUACUUUGCUUUUCAUUGAUAAACAAAUAAUAAUUCUACCACAGUGGACAUACAGAUAGAAAUAUAUCCUGUAUGCAGGUUUUCAUUUUGCAAUUUAACUAUAAAUCUUUGCUCUUCUUUGGUCAUUUUGGCCAUUUGUGUUUGCUUCCUCAUUAAUUCAACACAUACAAUAGAUAUGAUUUGUGCAGCCACAUGGAAAUUAAAGGCGAUAUAAACAUGAGUAUUGGUGUGAUUCUAAUAAAUAUCAAAAGCUUUU
Non-coding RNA from Scatophagus argus, 1102 nucleotides. NCBI's taxonomy places the organism in Eukaryota, Metazoa, Chordata, Actinopteri, Scatophagidae. The record is from the annotation of a RefSeq genome assembly.